AGAGUGGGACAACUCGGGGAAACUCGAGCUAAUACCGCAUAAUCUCUAAGGAGGAAAGCUGGGGACCUUUUAGGCCUGGGCUUUAAGAUGAACCUGCGUCCGAUUAGCUUGUUGGUGGGGUAAAGGCCUACCAAGGCGACGAUUGGUAGCUGUUCUGAGAGGAAGGACAGCCACACUGGGACUGAGACACGGCCCAGACUCCUACGGGAGGCAGCAGUGGGGAAUAUUGCACAAUGGGCGCAAGUGAUGCAGCAAUGCCGCGUGUGUGAAGAAGGCCUGCGGGUUGUAAAGCACUUUCAGUAGGGAGGAAACUGUAACGGAAUAAUACCCGUUACCUUGACGUUACCUACAGAAGAAGCACCGGCUAACUCUGUGCCAGCAGCCGCGGUAAUACAGAGGGUGCAAGCGUUAAUCGGAAUUACUGGGCGUAAAGCGCGCGUAGGGGUUUGGUCAGUCGGAUGUGAAAGCCCCGGGCUUAACCUGGGAAUUGCAUUCGAUACUGCCAGGCUAGAAUGUAGUAGAGGGAAGUGGAAUUCCGGGUGUAGCGGUGAAAUGCGUAGAUAUCCGGAGAACAUCAGUGGCGAAGGGACUUCCUGGACUAACAUUGACGCUGAGGUGCG
This 620-nucleotide ribosomal RNA is filed under the name uncultured bacterium. Its description in RNAcentral is "bacterial SSU rRNA". It matches the Rfam family "Bacterial small subunit ribosomal RNA", at positions 135 to 755 of the family's 1533-position model. The record is from RNAcentral.